Long non-coding RNA from Anolis carolinensis (green anole), 4330 nucleotides. The record is from Ensembl. NCBI's taxonomy places the organism in Eukaryota, Metazoa, Chordata, Lepidosauria, Squamata, Anolidae.
AUGAGGCAAGAGGGAGUUUCACAUACAUUGUUGUUGUUGUGCACCUUCCAGAUAUGUCCUCAAAUCUCAGGGCCGAGAGAGUGUGACCCACCUAAGGUCACCCAGCGGGUUUGCACGGCUAAGGGGCAAAUCAAACCUCAGUCUCCAGAAUCUCAGUCUGCCCUGAAACCAUUAUUAUUAUUGGAGUGCUAUGUGGUUUCCGGGCUGUUUGGCAGUGUUCUUGCAGCAUUUUUCCUGACAUUUUGCCUGUAUCUAUGGCUGGCAUCUUCAGAAGUUUCUGAGCAUACAUACAGCCCAGAAACCACACAACACCCCAGUGAUUCCGGCCGUGAAAGUUUUGACAAUACAUUCUUAUUAUUGUUGUUAAUGUUAUUGUUAUUGUUAUUCCACCAUCAUCCUGUUUCUUCUCUCUUAAAAGAAGUUCAAAGGGACUAGUAAUGCCCGAGCCCUUUAAUUAAGUUUAAUUAAAACUUAAAACAUAUAAACACAGAAAUGGAAUUAAACAUAGGAUUACUAAAAAUAUGAAUGCAUAGUUAAAACUAUUUCAAAUUCUAUUACAAUGCACGAAACACUAGACCAUGCUGGCUUUCUUUAACAGGCGUGCAGAUAUCUAUUUGUGUAUGUGCAUCAACCCACCACAGUCCCUACCCCUCCAUUCUUGUCUUGCCUCCUCCCUUUCUCUUGCCUCUGUCUCUCUCUUAUUUUUAAACUGGUGCCAUGCCUCUUCCCACUGCGUGACUCUCUUCCAGGCUGGAAUUUGCCCUAAAAUAGCCGCUCUGCUUCUCUGCGGCCGCUCCGGCAGCCGCUCCCUUCCCUGGCAUGAGCUGGGGCUUCAGGCGCCGUGUGGGUCCAACUGACCAGACAAAGCCAGGGAGGCCUUGGAGUGAGCAGCAGGCCUUGGGUGGUGGUUGGGCUUGAUGCCCUUUGGGAACCUCAUUGAGCUCUAGGACCCUGAGGCUUUGCUUCUCCAGAGUUGGACUGGAUGGCCUUUGGGCUCCCUUCCAACCCUAAGAGCCUUGGAUGAUUGGUAUAUAUAUUUGGUGUUGUAUUGUCUUAAAUUUUUCUAUAUUGUAUUUUACUAUGUUAUUUAAUUAUUUUAACUGUUUUAUUCUUAUUUUAUUGUAUUAUGAUGUACUGGUAGUGAUCCUACCAGUUGUGUAAGCCGCCCUGAGUCCCCUCGGGGAGAAGGGCGGGGUAGAAAUAUUGGAAAUAAAAUAAACAAAUAAUGAUCUGGGGAGUGGAGUCUCUGUGUGCUUUGCUGCCUGCAUUCCUUCCUUCCUCCCUUUUCCUCCUCCGCCCUUCCUCCAGAGUUUUCCAGACCGCCAACAAAAUGCCUAUUUUACGGGCCUUUCUGCUCCCAAACACUACUUCUGGAACAUGGCCACACAGCCCGAAAGACAUACAACAACACCACACCAGCUGUUCCCAAGCACACGCCUGGCCCAUCGAUGGCCACUUCUCCCUUGACCAGCCAUAAUCCGUGCCGCUUGGGCUGGAGCGACCAGAUUUAAAAUAGUUUCCGGCAUCCAGCUUUGCUCUCUGUCUGGCUAUGCAUGCGCUGCUAUUAUUAGCGUUGGAUCGUAUCUGCGGAUAUUCCUGGCGGCCAGAAAGCUACGUGGCUAAUAUUUUUGAAAAGGCAGCUGUUGGGGCUGGGUUCCACAAUGCAUUGAAAUGCUGCCUGUCUUUGUUUGUCUGUUUCAUAUUCUUCUGGGCCACCGCAAGAAUGAACAAACAAUCCCAUUUGCUAGACCAAGGCCAGCUCUUUGCAAGGUGAGCAUCUCCUGUGUCGCACCCCAAAGGUACGAGAGCACUCUGAAAAUCACACUGAAGCCAGAUGUUCAUAUAUAUAUAUAUAUAUAUAUGCAGAGUCAAUAGAGCAAGUAGUCCAUAAUAUAAUGUCCACAAUAGUUCAAAAGAUAGUUCUUCAAAAUCUGUCAAAGUUAUAAUCCACAAACAGAACUCAAAGGGUCCCAGCAAAGAGUCAAAGUCAGUAAGCACCCAGGAAUUGCAGGAAUCAGGGACAAGACACAGCAAAAUGACAACUGUAAUCCACCUGGAAGGUAUUCCUUCAAAAGCAGGGAAACCAGAGUAACAAGGCAAGGUAUACUCGAGAGUCACAAGGCGCAAACUCCAACAGGGAAUCCUGGAAACGGCAAGGAUCAAGAGACAGGAACAGAGAUGCUUCUCCCAAGAAUGGCAAUGUUGACACCGCAACGAAAACAAGGAGCGAGGUCCCUUUAAGGAAACCUCAAGGCUACCGCUCAAUGAGAUCCAGGACAAUCACAGCUUCACAUGGGAAAGUUUAUUAAUUACAGCGCUUGAGAGCCAAACGUUUACUUCUUCUCAGCACUUCUCUUUGACUCCUAUCCUGUGAGAUAGAUUGUCUCCGAUCAAAAGGCACAUCCUCCCCUACAACAACUCCAUCUGGUGAAUCCAGCCUUAAGUUAACAUCAGAAUGUUCCCCAAUUAGCUGUUUCUCUGGGAGCACAACUUCAGGCACCUACAAAGUCAUUGGGCUCUGAUCCAAACCCCAGAGAGGCUCAAAAUCUAAAUCAGCCUCUGAGUCCCACUCCGUCAACAGUGUGAUGCAGCAGCUAAAAAGGCCAAUGGAUUCUAGGCAGCAACCAUAGGAGGAUAGUGUCAAGAUUGUUGCUGAAAACCUGAAGCCCAAAAUGGACCCAAAACCAGUGGCUCCAAGGGCGCCCAGAAACCGACUCUGCAGUAACCUUCCCCAGUUUCAGGCAAUGUCCAAGUGAAUUAUUAUAAUAAUUAUUAUUAUGUUUAUUUAUAUACUGCUUUAUCUUCCCCGAAGGAGACUCAAAGCAGCUUACAAUUAAAAGCAUGACCACAUAAUUUAAAAUAUACAAAUUGUUGUUGUUUAGUCGUUUAGUCAAAUAGGGAAAAGUUAAAACAGAAUUAAACCUAACAGUAUUAAAACUAAAAAAUCCAUUAAAACAUGAUCUUCUACUUUAACUUGCCAAUGUUUGCACAAAACAUCACACACACAUUAGGAGAUACCCCUUGACCCCAUCCAGGAAAAGACAUAAUCCUUCUUAACAUGCUCUGGGUCACAUAAUGGACUUAGAAAGAGCCAAGAGGGCUAUCCCAAGACUUGAUCUAGUUCUAUCCCUAGGAAGUUCUAUCCCAAUCGGUAGAUCAGAUCCCUCCCUGGGAUCUACAUUGAAGCUGUGACAACACCUGUGCUGUCCAUUGUGUAGCCAGCCAAAGCCCAUUGUCCUGUUCUGGAUCGGCAGGAGCAGAGCCAUCAAUCCCUUUAACUCAGGCACAGGCAAAGUUCGACCCUCCCUCUGGGUGUUUUGGACUUCAGCUCCCACAAUUCCUAACAGCCUCUGGCCCCUUCCUUCCCCCCAAGUCACUCAAGUACCUUGAGGGCUCAAGUCUGAUCUAACUCCAAUCCAGUCACAUUCCUUUCCUCCGAUGCCCUUUCCAUGGGCAGACCCAAAAAAUGGCACUGACUUCAAGUCAUUGAAUGACAGUUUUUAAAAUUUUCUCCAAAGCUUGCAAACCAAUCAGUAGUGGUGAUGGAUGGCGCUUCUGCACCAAUGUGGAUGGAUCCUAGCCAGCCCCAACCUGGACCAAUCACCGCUGAGGCGGAAAACUUUUUGUUCUGAAUAGGACUAGGCUGUGAUGCAGCUGGUUAGUAGCCAGCUGCAAUAAAUCACUACUGACUGAGAGAUCAUGAGUUUGAACUAGCCUGGGUUGGAUUGAGUACCCGACCAAUCAAAAUAGCCAAGUUUGUUGUUGACCUGAGCAACCCGAACGAUAGUUGCAUCCAUCAAGUAGGAAAUUUAGGUACUGCUUAUUAUACGAGAAGGCUAAUUUAACUAAUUUACGACACCAUAAAAUCAUCCAGCAGUGUGCAUGCAGGAAGAAUGAGGAAGUAUUCCAUCAAGGACUUGGUGUCACAGUGGAUGAUGAAGCAGCAACUCCCCCUAUGGCCGGAAUCGAGCAUACCUUCAUGAAGCCGGAAGCUGGAAAAUGUUAAAUUCCCUCUGUGUCUUUGUCUGUGUGUGUUGUAUGUCUAAUGGCAUUGAAUGUUUGCCAUGUAUGUGUACAUCGUGAUCCACCCUGAGAACCCUUCGGGGUGAGAAAGAAGGGCGGAAUAGAAAUACUGCAAAUAAAUAAAUAGCUGUCAACGUGCUAUAAAUAAAUCUGUAUGUUCGCAAAUGAGCUUAUGUCAGUUUUUGGAGUGCAGACUCUGGUGACAUCUGCUUUGUCCAAGGAGAAUAAAAGCCUCUGUUCUUUGUUUUCAUCUCAUCUGUGUCUUAUUUGGUCCUUUGAAGCUUCACACGCCAGGCUUCCAAACCCA